This 460-nucleotide ribosomal RNA is filed under the name uncultured bacterium. Its description in RNAcentral is "bacterial SSU rRNA". It matches the Rfam family "Bacterial small subunit ribosomal RNA", at positions 30 to 484 of the family's 1533-position model. The record is from RNAcentral.
AUUGAACGCUGGCGGCAGGCCUAACACAUGCAAGUCGAGCGGAUGACGGGAGCUUGCUCCUUGAUUCAGCGGCGGACGGGUGAGUAAUGCCUAGGAAUCUGCCUGGUAGUGGGGGACAACGUUUCGAAAGGAACGCUAAUACCGCAUACGUCCUACGGGAGAAAGCAGGGGACCUUCGGGCCUUGCGCUAUCAGAUGAGCCUAGGUCGGAUUAGCUAGUAGGUGAGGUAAUGGCUCACCUAGGCGACGAUCCGUAACUGGUCUGAGAGGAUGAUCAGUCACACUGGAACUGAGACACGGUCCAGACUCCUACGGGAGGCAGCAGUGGGGAAUAUUGGACAAUGGGCGAAAGCCUGAUCCAGCCAUGCCGCGUGUGUGAAGAAGGUCUUCGGAUUGUAAAGCACUUUAAGUUGGGAGGAAGGGCAGUAAGUUAAUACCUUGCUGUUUUGACGUACCGACAG